AGGAUCAUUAUUGAAUGAACUUGGUGUGGUUGUUGCUGGCCCUCUCGGGGGCAUGUGCACACCCACCAUCCUCAUCUCUCCACCUGUGCACCUCUUGUAGACCUGGAUUGACUUUCCGAGGCAACUCGGUCGGGAAGAUUGCUGCGCUCUGUGAGCCAGCUUUCUUUGCAUGUCCAGGCCUAUGUUUUUCAUAUACCCCUAUAGAAUGUAACAGAAUGUAUCAUUGGGCCUUGUGCCUAUAAACCUUAUACAACUUUCAGCAACGGAUCUCUUGGCUCUCGCAUCGAUGAAGAACGCAGCGAAAUGCGAUAAGUAAUGUGAAUUGCAGAAUUCAGUGAAUCAUCGAAUCUUUGAACGCACCUUGCGCUCCUUGGUAUUCCGAGGAGCAUGCCUGUUUGAGUGUCAUUAAAUUCUCAACCUUAUUAACUUUUGUUGAUAAUGGAUUGGAUUGUGGGGGUUUCUUUUGCUGGCUUCUUCACAGAGAUCAGCUCCCCUUAAAUGCAUUAGCUGGUGCCCCGCGUGGACCAUCUAUUGGUGUGAUAAUUAUCUACGCCGUGGAUGUCUGCAAUCAUAUGGGUUUCGCACUGCUUCUAACCGUCUGUUCAUUCGGACAAUACAUGACAAUUUGACCUCAAAUCAGGUAGGACUACCCGCUGAACUUAA
RNAcentral lists this ribosomal RNA (663 nucleotides) under Naucoria scolecina. Its description in RNAcentral is "eukaryotic LSU rRNA". The stretch from base 252 to 405 matches the Rfam family "5.8S ribosomal RNA". The record is from RNAcentral. Lineage: Eukaryota; Fungi; Basidiomycota; Agaricomycetes; Agaricales.